CCUACGAGAGGCAGCAGUGAGGAAUAUUGGUCAAUGGGCGCGAGCCUGAACCAGCCAAGUAGCGUGAAGGAUGACUGCCCUACGGGUUGUAAACUUCUUUUAUAAAGGAAUAAAGUGAGGCACGUGUGCCUUAUUGUAUGUACUUUAUGAAUAAGGAUCGGCUAACUCCGUGCCAGCAGCCGCGGUAAUACGGAGGAUGCGAGCGUUAUCCGGAUUUAUUGGGUUUAAAGGGUGCGUAGGCGGGCUGUUAAGUCAGCGGUAAAAGCCCGGGGCUCAACCCCGGCGAGCCGUUGAAACUGGCUUUCUUGAGAUGUCGAGAGGUAUGCGGAAUGCGCAGUGUAGCGGUGAAAUGCUUAGAUAUUGCGCAGAACUCCGAUUGCGAAGGCAGCAUACCGGCGGCGAUCUGACGCUGAGGCACGAAAGCGUGGGUAUCGAACAGGAUUAGAUACCCCAGUAGUC
RNAcentral lists this ribosomal RNA (459 nucleotides) under uncultured bacterium. Its description in RNAcentral is "partial 16S ribosomal RNA". It matches the Rfam family "Bacterial small subunit ribosomal RNA", at positions 338 to 795 of the family's 1533-position model. The record is from RNAcentral.